This 231-nucleotide ribosomal RNA is filed under the name Triticum aestivum (bread wheat). RNAcentral describes it as "partial small subunit ribosomal RNA". The record is from RNAcentral. Lineage: Eukaryota; Viridiplantae; Streptophyta; Magnoliopsida; Poales; Poaceae.
AUGGCCGCCGUACCGGCCGUCCUCCUCAUCCUGCUCCUCCUCGUCGCCACAGAGAUGGGGACGACGAAGACCGCGGAGGCCCGGACGUGCGAGUCGCAGAGCCACAAGUUCAAGGGCCCCUGCUUCAGCGACAGCAACUGCGCAACCGUGUGCCGCACCGAGAACUUUCCCCGCGGCCAGUGCAACACGCACCACGUCGAGCGCAAGUGCUACUGCGAGCGGGACUGCUGA